RNAcentral lists this long non-coding RNA (518 nucleotides) under Heterocephalus glaber (naked mole-rat). RNAcentral's name for it is "lncRNA (ENSHGLG00100036266.1)". Lineage: Eukaryota; Metazoa; Chordata; Mammalia; Rodentia; Bathyergidae. The record is from RNAcentral.
CAGGUGGAGACACUUAGGUGUUAAAAAAGAAACUCCUCAAGGCCGGGGAUUUAACUUGGUGCUGCAUCUGCUGCAUCUGCCUCACAAGCGUAAGGUCCUGAGUUCGAUCCCUGGUACCAAGAAACUCCGCAUGGUUGGCAGAACUACACAGGAUGACACCUGCAAGACAACAGUUGGCCUGAGUAACUGAAAAAGACGUGACGUGAAGAGUGCAUUUUCACGGAGAACGAAGGCAGCCCACGGGCAGGAUGAAGAGGAGGUGGGGCCAGAGGCAGCCCCAAGGGCACAGUUAUGGACACUCUCGCAAGAAGGGCAGGAAGGCAGAUUUCUGUGGCAGCUGCAUAUCAAGGACCUUGCGCUUUCGAGGCAGGCAGUGGAACCCCUGAGCUAAAUCCCCGGCCCUGGUAUUUACUUCAAAAUAAUGUCCAGAACAGCGUGAGACAGGUGAAGGUACAGAGGAAACAAGCUUGGCGGUGAGUUGGUAAGGCAACUAGUGACCAUAUGGGGGUUCAGUAGGC